UAGGUUGCACGUCGACCUCUUUGUCGAGUU
Molecule: small RNA, 30 nt
Filed under: Bombyx mori (domestic silkworm)
Lineage: Eukaryota; Metazoa; Arthropoda; Insecta; Lepidoptera; Bombycidae
Description: piRNA piR-bmo-1846414
Source: RNAcentral